UACAGAGGGGGCAAGCGUUGUUCGGAAUUACUGGGCGUAAAGGGCGCGUAGGCGGCCUGUUAAGUCGAACGUGAAAUCCCCGGGCUCAACCCGGGAACUGCGUCCGAUACUGGCAGGCUUGAAUCCGGGAGAGGGAUGCGGAAUUCCAGGUGUAGCGGUGAAAUGCGUAGAUAUCUGGAGGAACACCGGUGGCGAAAGCACUUUACUGGGCUAUUACUAACACUCAGAGACGAAAGCUAGGGUAGCAAAUGGG
This 253-nucleotide ribosomal RNA is filed under the name uncultured bacterium. RNAcentral describes it as "partial 16S ribosomal RNA". It matches the Rfam family "Bacterial small subunit ribosomal RNA", at positions 524 to 776 of the family's 1533-position model. The record is from RNAcentral.